Non-coding RNA from Pongo abelii (Sumatran orangutan), 65 nucleotides. NCBI's taxonomy places the organism in Eukaryota, Metazoa, Chordata, Mammalia, Primates, Hominidae. The record is from Rfam.
AGGGCUCCUGACUCCAGGUCCUGUGUGUUACCUAGAAAUAGCACUGGACUUGGAUCAGAAGGCUG